GCCUGGCGGCACAGUGCUUAGCACCAUUGACUUUCAAUGAGGUGGUUCCGGGUUCGAGCCCUGGCCGGCCA
Gymnothorax javanicus (giant moray) is the source of this 71-nucleotide non-coding RNA. Lineage: Eukaryota; Metazoa; Chordata; Actinopteri; Anguilliformes; Muraenidae. The record is from the annotation of a GenBank genome assembly.